RNAcentral lists this ribosomal RNA (434 nucleotides) under uncultured bacterium. RNAcentral describes it as "bacterial SSU rRNA". It matches the Rfam family "Bacterial small subunit ribosomal RNA", at positions 958 to 1392 of the family's 1533-position model. The record is from RNAcentral.
AACGCGAAGAACCUUACCCACCCUUGACAUGUACGGAAGUUACCAGAGAUGGUUUCGUGCUCGAAAGAGAACCGUAACACAGGUGCUGCAUGGCUGUCGUCAGCUCGUGUCGUGAGAUGUUGGGUUAAGUCCCGCAACGAGCGCAACCCUUGCCAUUAGUUGCUACAUUCAGUUGGGCACUCUAAUGGGACUGCCGGUGACAAACCGGAGGAAGGUGGGGAUGACGUCAAGUCCCCAUGGCCCUUAUAGGUGGGGCUACACACGUCAUACAAUGGCUGGUACAGAGGGUUGCCAACCCGCGAGACGGAGCUAAUCCCAUAAAACCAGUCGUAGUCCGGAUCGCAGUCUGCAACUCGACUGCGUGAAGUCGGAAUUGCUAGUAAUCGCGGAUCAGAAUGUCGCGGUGAAUACGUUCCCGGGUCUUGUACACACCG